GAUCCUGGCUCAGGAUGAACGCUAGCUACAGGCUUAACACAUGCAAGUCGAGGGGCAGCAUCAUCAAAGCUUGCUUUGAUGGAUGGCGACCGGCGCACGGGUGAGUAACACGUAUCCAACCUGCCGACAACACUGGGAUAGCCUUUCGAAAGAAAGAUUAAUACCGGAUGGCAUAAUUUUCCCGUCCAUGGGAGUAAUUAUUAAAGUAAAUUUACGGUUUGGUUCGAUGGGGAGUGCGUUCCUACUUAGGUCG
RNAcentral lists this ribosomal RNA (253 nucleotides) under uncultured bacterium. RNAcentral describes it as "partial 16S ribosomal RNA". It matches the Rfam family "Bacterial small subunit ribosomal RNA", at positions 15 to 252 of the family's 1533-position model. The record is from RNAcentral.